CACGUAGUUAGCCGGUGCUUUUUCUGCAGGUACCGUCACUUUCGCUUCUUCCCUACUAAAAGAGGUUUACAACCCGAAGGCCGUCAUUCCUCACGCGGCGUUGCUGCAUCAGGCUUUCGCCCAUUGUGCAAUAUUCCCCACUGCUGCCUCCCGUAGGAGUCUGGGCCGUGUCUCAGUCCCAGUGUGGCCGGUCACCCUCUCAGGCCGGCUACCCGUCGUCGCCUUGGUGAGCCAUUACCUCACCAACAAGCUGAUAGGCCGCGAGUCCAUCCCCAACCAAAAAACUCUUUCCACCACCAGACCAUGCGGCCGGCAGUCAUAUCCAGUAUUAGACGUCGUUUCCAACGCUUAUCCCAGAGUCAGGGGCAGGCUACUCACGUGUUACUCACCCGUUCGCCACUAAUCCACCCAGCAAGCCGGGCAUCAUCGUUCGACUUGCAUGUGUUAAGCACGCCGCCAGCGUCGUCCUGAGCCAGGAGUCAACUAC
RNAcentral lists this ribosomal RNA (487 nucleotides) under uncultured Curtobacterium sp. RNAcentral describes it as "partial 16S ribosomal RNA". The record is from RNAcentral. Lineage: Bacteria; Bacillati; Actinomycetota; Actinomycetes; Micrococcales; Microbacteriaceae.